GGGCCCGCACAAGCGGUGGAGCAUGUGGUUUAAUUCGAUGCAACGCGAAGAACCUUACCAUCCCUUGACAUGUAGAGAAGUUUCCAGAGAUGGAUUCGUGCCUUCGGGAACUCUAACACAGGUGCUGCAUGGCUGUCGUCAGCUCGUGUCGUGAGAUGUUGGGUUAAGUCCCGCAACGAGCGCAACCCUUAUCAUUAGUUGCUAACAUUUAGUUGAGAACUCUAAUGAGACUGCCGGUGAUAAACCGGAGGAAGGCGGGGACGACGUCAAGUCAUCAUGGCCCUUAUGGGAUGGGCUACACACGUGCUACAAUGGGAAGUACAAAGAGUUGCUAACUUGCGAAAGUGUGCUAAUCUCAAAAAACUUCUCGUAGUCCGGAUUGGAGUCUGCAACUCGACUCCAUGAAGUCGGAAUCGCUAGUAAUCGUGAAUCAGAAUGUCACGGUGAAUACGUUCCCGGGCCUU
This 464-nucleotide ribosomal RNA is filed under the name uncultured bacterium. Its description in RNAcentral is "bacterial SSU rRNA". It matches the Rfam family "Bacterial small subunit ribosomal RNA", at positions 917 to 1382 of the family's 1533-position model. The record is from RNAcentral.